This 13613-nucleotide long non-coding RNA is filed under the name Homo sapiens (human). RNAcentral describes it as "HSALNT0017512". Lineage: Eukaryota; Metazoa; Chordata; Mammalia; Primates; Hominidae. The record is from RNAcentral.
CCUGAUCCCAGUGAGCGAGAGGGGGAGGAGCCUUAGGAACUUGGAUCAGAGAGGCUGGAGGAGACGGAUCCCAUAGACCUUAACAGUCAUUGGAGACCUUUAGAUUUGAUUCUCAGUAGGAUGGAAAUCACUAGAGGGUUUUGAACAGGGAAGUAAUAUGAUCUCACUGUUUUAAAGAAUGCUUUCUGGCUGCUGAGGGGAGAGACUCACAAGAGAAAGAGGAGAAGCAGGAGGGAGGCCAAUAACCCAGGGUCAUUUGAGUUUUCUGAAAUUUACAUCUGAAAAAAUCCUAACUGAUAGAGAUAUCGGUACCAGGAAGUCAGAUGCUGCACAACAAUCUUCUGCAACCAGGAGCCCUAAGAGGAUAGCAGCAUGGAUGAAUCACUUCCUAGGAUGCUGCAGAGUGUUUCAGCCCCACCAACCAGAAAAGCCAGCAUCAGUCGGAAGGGUGGGCCCCAAAACUCCCUGGAUUUGAGCCUCUUAAUAGGCAAAACUGUUUUCAUAUAAACCCCAAUCAACAUCAUAUGCUCAGAUUCAUAAAGAAAAUUUCAAGUCAUUAUGGUUUAUUUCUGCUAAGUAGGAAGAACUACUGAAGAUCCUUUAAAAUAUAUUGUAUCAUGUAUACAUUAUUGGAUUUGAUUCUGGAAAAUAAUAUAUUCUAGUUCAUAAUCCCUUGCUUGCAAAUUGAAAGCUUUUUUCUUAGCAAAUUUGGCAGCAAAACCUGAUCUGAUGUGAGAGGAUUUAUCUUUUAUUUAAAAGUUUACUUGGUGUAACUAUUCCUUUGUUUCACUGCAGAAAUAGAAUAUGUUUCAUUAUAUGGUGCUGUCUCUAACUCCACAAAAUGUAGGGUAAUAUAUGAUACAGUUAAUAAAGUCCAAAAAAUUCUGACCUUCAAGGCAUGUCUGGCCCCAGAAGUUUUGGAUAAGGAAUCUAUAUUCCAUUAUAACACUCACCCAAUUCUAUUAUCUUGAGAUGUAAUACUUCCAUAAUGUGUGGGCUUUGAAGUAUCCAGCAAAAGCAAAGUCACAGAAACACAAUUAGCAUGAUUUGAGCAUUUGGAAGUAAUAUAACUGAAAGCUGUUCCAAGUUUCCUCUGAUCUAAAGUAUGCAUAUAUGCUAUUAUACUAUUGAUUUUCCUACAUGUACAUACUUCUGUGAGCUAAGCGAUGCUUCUGACUGUGAGGAAACUUUUACAGGUAAAUCCUUUAUAUCAUAUCCAACCACAAUCUGGGCAUUGCAGGCAUCAGAACAAUUUCCAUAGCUUCUAAUUUUCCCAAGUGUUUUGUUGUUCUCAUUUUAUAAAUUUUAUAAUCUUCUUGUACUUAAACUUUUUCUCCCAAGAGUUUGAAGAAACAGCACCUAACUUUUGGGAGUAAUGUUUCUAUUCUUUACAGGGCACAUAUCUGGUACUGGGCUGCAAACCUCAUUAUGUAUAUCAUUUCUGAAUCCCACCAUCAUCCUGAGAGAUAUUUUCUAUUCCUCUCAUCACACAGCUGAGCAAACUCAGGCACAAUGUGUCCCAGGCCACAUAGCUCUUAAGUGACAGAACAGAAUUUGAACCCAGGAAUGUCUAGGUCUAAAACCUGUGUCUUCCCAAAAUAUCAUGGGGCAGAUAAUUGACCCAUGCUCCAAUCUCAUUCUCAAACUGUGCAUAGUUGGAAGAAUAAGCCUGCUUUAUCCGUGGUAGAAAUUAGAGUUUAAUUUUUUUUCUAAAUGCUUAUGACAAUGUUUUUACACUUCCAUAAAAGAAGACAUAGUAUCUGGUUUUCAAAGAUUUAACUCUAUAGCCAUAUAAAAUGUCCAUCACUAUAACUUUGCUUUUCUGUUUUUUUAAAUAAAUGCAAAUAAUUGGUAUUGGGUAGGCUUAUCAACAAACACAGCAAAAUCAGAUACUCAAUAUUUACCCACCUUUUAGAAGCAUCAUCUACAUUUAUUGGAAAUAUUACCAUACAAGGGGAAGAGAAAGGCUUACACCUCAUAACAACAUAGCAUAAAAGGACAGAGAUGAAGAUCAUUAAUGAUUUUAAUUAUUUUAAGGACCAUUAAAAUUAGAGAAAUAUCAAAGCACCCACAGUGUUAAGGGUUUAUUAUUACAGCAUUUUAGAGUUUACUAGUUCAUACCUUUCAAUCACAGCAAGUUAUUAGCAGUGAAGGGAUGAACCCUCUUAAGAGGAUUUUUAUUUCAAUGAUAGGGUGUUACGGACAAGACAACCUAAGUUUAAAAAAAAUUAGUAGCAAGCGCUAGUUGAGUUAAUCAGUUAAAGACAAACUGUGCCCUUGGGAAGCUAAAUGAAAAAGCAACAGUAAAGCUUACAGAACUUAGCUCGUACAAUUUGCCUUGAAGGCGGAAGAUUGGUUCCCUGAAAUAGCAAAGAAUUAUAUGCUUUAGUUCAGAAAAAAAGUUUUUAAAAUAAAGUCUGUUAUUACCUCUUCUCCUUUCAAAACAAUGGGAAAAAAAUCUAGAGCAGAGGUUUCAAUUUGUUCAAUAAUUGUACCUCUGAAAGUUUUUUAAAAACUAUAACACCAUCAUUGUUUUGACUUGAAAAGAAAUAACAAUGCAAAUAUUCAUUAUCACAUAAAACAUAAAAGACACAGCAAACUGUUGAGUUAAUACAAUCUCUGCAGAGCGCUAUUAGUCAGAGACAGCUGGUCAGCCCAAAACACAAAAACUCAAAAGAUCAGAUCUUCUUAGGAAUUAACAUCUUCAUUAACCAACAAGAAUUUAGUGUGGCAGAGAUUACAUCCAACAACUGCGUUCUUCAUGAGCUGUCCCUUCACUGAUACCAAGCUGUGCAAAUGUGUGAACUAGUUAGCAACCCCAGAAAGCUCAUGCAACUACUCACCACAUUUUAACCUUCAACUGACUCACAAACUCAAUGUUAAAUUAAACUUAGGGGUAACGUAAGCAAGCAAAAUAGGACAUGAGGAGUCAAAUUUGAAAUGCAGAGCAAGUAGCAGAAAGGUUAUUUAAAAUAAAUCAAUAUGGUUAACUGCACAAAAUAGCCAAAAAGAAAUGCAAUUCACUCCAAAAAUUUUAAAAGCAAAAACAAAUCAAAAUGAAAGCUGCAUUUCAAGCAAAAUUUGCACGUGAUUAAUUUGCAUUAAAAAAAUAGUCAAUCAAGCGAUUUAGUUCAAAUUCUUUGGGACAUGCAUACACUGAUUCUCUUAUGCAAUUCCUACCUGAUUUCCAACUGUGGUUUUCUUGUGAACCUGACUGCUCCUCUGCUGAGCACUGAGAAAAGCAAAGGAAAGCAGCACUGAAGAGACACAUAUAAUUUUUUCCUAAACAAGUAACAAAUACUAAAAUUUAUACAGGCUUUAAAAAAAAAAUCAAUGGAGACAGACCUAAUACCAAAAUUCCAGGUCAGUUUAAUUCUGGAAGCAAAACCAACUCAAUGGGACUCCUAAUAGCACAUAACUCCUAGUAGCAUAUAAACCAAAAAUAUAAUAACACCACUUAAAGAAAAGCUGCAUUGUAACAUUAAUAACAUACGAGUUGACAUAUUUGCAGUGUCUCACAGGUACAGAGGAGAGUUGUAAUGGAAAUUAAGUUAAUGAUUAUUGAGUAUAUGCCAUGUUCUAAGUGCUUUAUCGAUAUUAAUCAUUUUUAUUCUCACAGCAACCCCAUGAAGCAGUUACGAUUAUUCUUCUUGUUUCAUAGAUGAGGAGAGAAGCUAAGUGACUUUCCCAAAAUCACUCAGCUAAUAAGUGGUAGUACCAAGUAGCAUGGCUCCGCAUCACAAACUCUUUGUGAUAUUGUCCAGUCUCACUGCUUUGAAUUCCAAUAUAUUCUGACAACUCCUUUAAUGCAUCUCUGGUUUGGAUCUGCCAUGUAGAUCCAAAUAUGUAUGAGUCCCAACUCUGGACUUAUUGAUGUUUUUAACAACUUAACCUCAUCACUUGGGUAUUUAAUGGGCAUAUCAUUCUUAAUAUUUCAAAACUAAACUCCUGAAAUCCCCCCUAAAAUCUGUUCCACCCACAGUCUUCCUUCCUCCUCUUAACUAAUGGCAAUUCUAUACCAUACAUUCAAGUUCCUUGGCCAAAAUCUUUGUCUCCUCUUUCUCUCACAACCCAUAUCCGACCAUCAGAAAAUGCUGUCGACUACUUUCUUAUAAUAAAUUUAACAUUUAACCAUCUUUUCAUCACUUCCAUUGGUCCCACCUUGGUCCAAGACACUGCCAUCCCUCAUCUGGAUUACUGUAAUCAUUUAUUCUCUGGUCUCUGCUUCCACACUUGUCUCCCUGAAGUCUAUUCUUAACAGACACCAGAGUGAUACUUUCAGAAGGACUAUGUUAACUCUUCUGCUCGAAACCGUGUACUGCAUCAACACCAUUCCAUUUAAUGGUAAAAACCAAAGUCCAUACAAGGGUCUACAAGGCCCUACUCAAGCAACCCCCACUACUGCCUCUUUGACUCAUCUCCUCCUACCCUUCACCUUGUUCCCUGAAGAGUUCCAGCCACACUGGCAUCUGCUCUUUUUCAAACCCACCCAAUACACUCCCAUUUAGAGCCUUCAGGCAAGCUAGCUCCCUAGGAUGUACUUCCCGCUUUCAUCUGCAUGGUUCCCAACAUCUCUUUCAAGUCUUCAUUCAAAUCCUUCUUUUCAGUUAGGACUACUCUGACCACCCUAUUUAUAACCGCAUCCCUCCCUUCCUCCAAGACUAUCAUCCCCUUUACCCUGUUUGAUUUUUCUGUCUGGCAUUUCUCACCUUCCGAUACACUACACGGUGUAUUUAUUUUUUGUGUUUGUCUGCCCUUUUCCAUUAGACUGUAAGCUCCUAAUGAGCAGGGGUUUGCGUCUGUUUUGUUCACUGCUAUAUCCCCAGGGCCUGCAAAGGACAUGGCACAUGGUUGGUUUCAUGAAAUAUCUGUUCGAUGAAAAGCCCAAUGAAGUUGAUGCCAUUAUAACCCUCAUUUUAGACAUAAGCACAGAGGGUUAAAAGCCAGAAAGGACUCCAACAACUUAACAACAGAGCCCACACGUUUCAUCACUAGGUUACUCUAUCCCUCAAAAGGACAAAGGCUUUCUUUUGGUGGAUCCAUGAAUAAACACGUAUCAAUAUAAGAAACACAACUCAUUUUGGUUAUUCUGGGAAGAUCAGCAAUACUCAGUAUUCUUACAGAUUGUUUAAUAGUUUAUGGAAGCUGUUUUGGAGAUCAAUGAAAUGGUCUAAAAUAGAGAAAAGGGAGACUAAAGCUCUCAGUCAACUGUUUAAAGUGAUGGGAUGUUGUGCUGCAGUAACAAGUUAGAAAUCAACACCACACUUAGAACAGCUGAUCAAAAUAAGUUUUUAAUAAACUCCUCUGAUACAUUUAAGCUGCUUUCCUUCACUCAAACUCAUGAAAAAACACUGCAUUCAACUGAAGGUGGGCAGGGGGUGGGUGGUGAAAGGCCAUACUGUAUUUGGUUGCUAAAAAUAUUUUGUGUAUAUAUUUUUUUCCAAUUUAAAAUUUGCUAAUUUCAACUUCUUCCUUCCUUGUUUUUUAUUUUUCCAGCUUUCUGUUAAAUGGUUAAUCCUCUUAAUUACGAUGAAAUUAUUUCCUCUUUAACCAUUUCUCUGAACAAUCUAAAUCUACAUUAUUCAGGUCUUGUAGGUGAGGCUGUGAAAGAGGUAACCAGGAUCCAAUGUGCCCACACCGCCCUCUGGCUGCCCUCAUGCCCUGGCGCACACAGCGUCUUGAGUAGCACUCUCCUAAGGGCUUCGGAUCUCCUCCUUACUUUCUUUUUCCACAUUAAAUGUCACUUUUCCAGCACCCUCCAGGCUUCCUGCUCUUCCAGGAAUGCAUGAGAAAACUACUAUUAUAAUGAGAUCAUGACACCUUCAUAGGUUAUGUUUAUCUCUUCCAAGCACCAUAAUUGUGUUUUAGGAGUAAUGUUUUCACUGAAACACUGACUAGUGGUGAAAACCUGUGAUAGACCCACAGGUGCUUCCUUUGAACAAAUUAUUGUAGACCCUAAAAUUAUGUAUCAGUCCCCUUCAAAUCACUUAAGGGAAAAGAAGUUGAAUGUAAAGCAAAAGCCGCAAAGAUCGUUAAUGACUCCUUUGCUACCUUAGGUGAAAAGUUUGAUCAAAAUGGACUUCAGUCGCUCAGCUAUAAAAUGUGUAUAUGUGUGUCAUAAAGGAGACAGACAGAAACAGAGACAGAGAGGAGGGCUAGAGGACUAAACAAGUUGUUUCUUAGGUUCCUUUUAGGUCCAAUAUUCCUUGAGAUGCAAAAUUACUCUCAGAAGCUUAUAAGCUACACUAGAUAAAGACAAUGUCCAUUGACAGUUUCCAUCUGUGAAAUAAUGCAUAUUUAGGAUCUACCACUUGUAAGAAUAUGCCAAAGGAAAAGUAGAUUUACUUUAUAAGCCAAUCUCAAAUAUUAGAGUUAGAAAAAACACUAAGUUGCCUCUAUUUUCCACCUAAAGAAUCUUUUUGCAGCAAUUGGCCCCAUAAACUUAAACAUUCUGUUGCUAAUGAUGUAUUUAGCUACUUGAAGUUACUUCAAAAGCAACAACAACAAAAAAAGCUGCCUGCUUAGAAUACAUUCUUUCUCAUAAUUCUUCUGCAUAAUAAUUGAACUGAGAGUAUUUCAAAACAUUUAUUUAAAAAUAUGUUCCUUAAAAAACCUGUAAGGACUUGCAAGUUAACUUGAGCCCUUGGACAUGUUCUUGGAUAUAGUUACUUAACCAAUUAACUCUGAAAUAUUAUAAAACAUACCUAUGUAUGGUGUUUUAGUUUAACAUAAAUCAAAAACUAUAGGGCACGAACUCCGUAGCAUAUAAAAAUAUGAAUAAGGUAUAGUUCUUGUUAUCAAAAGCCUACAAUUUGUCUGGUACAAGUAAUGAUAUGCAUACACAAAACAAAAAUAACAAAUAAAAAAUAAAAUCCAUAUUAAUAAACAUGUGAGGAUGUAAUAGAAAGCAAAAACAAAGUGCUUCUGUUUUAAAUGUGGGAUAUAAUUACCCAUAUCUUCUCAUAUGUGUGUGCGUGUGUGCACGCACAUUUGUCGUUUGUCAUAUAAAUUCCUACUACACACAAGUCACUGUGGAAGGCUUUGCCAGAACACUAAAACGUAGAACCAAAUUGGUGUAUGCUGAGACAUAAUGAUUCUAAAAGUAUAUAACAAGAAGUUUAAACUUCUAUAAAAAUAAGAGUACAUUAGAAGACAAUCAGAGAACCCCUAAUGUUAUCUCUUGGCUCAAAACUUUUUUGCACAGUGUCCUAUCCUUGUCUAUGAUGUGUGACCAUUUAUCAAAUAAAUCCUAUACCAUUGUAAUUUCUCUGAAUGUUCAGGGACAAGAAAUAUAAUUUCAGAUGAUAUGAUCUGAACUGUUUGUAGCAAACUUGAAAAGAAGAUAAACUUUAAUAAAGGAAAACAAAUGACUACGUUCCAAGAGAAUAGACUGGUAUUAGCAAAGCCAGGAAGUAGAAAGAUGAGGCAUAUGGGGAAGUUGUGGAGAGUAAAACUAUUAUGGUAGAAUUAUCCAAUCAUAGACUGGGGUUUGUAAGUGAUCUUAAAAGCCAUCUAGUAUAAUAACUGUACGUUGGGGCCAGUUAUGGAGAAUUUGGCUGUUACUCUGAAGGCAGCAGAAAACAUUCCAUGUUUCUGUGCCAGCAAGUGACAUGAUCAAGGCAAUGUUUUAGUACAAAUUAGUUCCCUGAAAUGCAUAGUAUUGACUCAAGCAGAGAAGACAGGAAGCAGUCAGCCCAGACCCCCUGUCUCUGACUAUUGGAGUCCUGUCCAGUCUUAAAACUCCAAUCAAGCAUCAUGCCUGAAUUAUGCCUUUUUAGAAACCUCCAGUUAUCUCUCCUUUUCAUGCACUCCCAAAGCCUUGGUCUGUGCCUGUAUUUUAUAAACAAGAUUGUAAGUUGGGUUUCCAACAAUGCCUGCUCCUUGAUAGUCAAGAGCAUCAAUCUUGGUAUUUCUACCUCUCUCAUCACUGACAUUACCUAGCAGAGGGUUUAUGGUAGUAUCUUAAGAAAUACGUAUGGAAUUCUGUUUUGAUGCCAGGGUUAUUUACAACCAGACUAUCAAUGAUCAUCUGUACUAGGAAACCUAAAUAAUUUGAAGAAGCAUAUCAUAGGCAUGUGUUAAAGCAAAAGUAUGGUACAGUUAGGGAUCCCAAAGUGGUCAGACUGGCUGCAGCAUGGACUUAGGGAGUAGAGUAGAAAGGAAUAGUAACAAUAGAAUAGGCUGAAGAGGUAAACAAGAUACAGAUUAUAGAGAGCCUUGGAAAUUACAUUAAUAAGUUUAGACUUUAUUCUGAAAGUAACAGAGAAUCUCAGAAGGAAUGAGAAAGAGGAUGACAGGGGUACAGAGAGACUGUUGUAGUAACUCAAGUAAGAGAAGACUAACUUUAGUAGUGGCAAUGAUGAUAGAAAGAAAUAGAUGAAUUCAAAAAAUAUUAUGGAGAUAGAAUCACAUGAACUUGGUAAAGAUGGAUGGAGACAAAGAUAUGAGGGGAACAAGGAGCAAAGAAUAGGACUGGGAGGUGCCAUCCACAGAAAGUGGGAACAACAUAGAAGUUAAAAAUUAUAAGAGCAGAUGAGGAGUUUAGUUUGGGACUAGAAGGUUGAGGCUUCUCUAGGAUAUAUAAGUAGAGAUGUCCAAUAGACAUCUGAAUAUGGUACAUAGUCCAGUGAAAAGUCUUGAAAUGAAGAUCUAGAUUUGGAGUCAUCAGAUAAAGUUGGCAACUAAAACCAUUGGAGUGGGUAAGAUCCAUUAGGAAUAAUGCAGUGAGUGAGAAAGAAGGGGGUCUAGGGUGGAAAAUUGAUUAAAGAAUAGUUCUUAAGCCAUGAUCAGAAGAUGAAGAGCUCCUAAAGACUGAGAAGUGGCUAGAGUGAAAAGAGGAAAACCAGGAGAGAGUGGAAGGUUAUUGAAGCAAAGGAACAGAUCUCUUCAAGAAGGAGUGAUUAACGGUGGUGUCAAAUGAAAGGCUCAGAAUUGUCCAUUGGAUUAACUGUUUUGUCCUGGACAAAAGCAGUCUCAGUGGAGUGGAGUGGUAGAAACUAGAUUGCAGUGGGCCGAAAAGUGAAAGGAAGAUGAAAAAGAGAAUGGAACACAGACUAAGGCCACUCAAAGAGGGCUCAGAUGCAUUAAGGAAAUGGAGAGUCCCUUUGAGAUGUAGAUUCCAUAGCAAAUAUCAGAGUGUGCCUCUACCUCUACCCACAUUUCAACUGCUCAACAGCCACAUACAGGUAGUAGCUUCUGUACUGAACAGCACAGAUUAUACGAUAGUUCCAUCAUCUCAGAAACUUCUAUUGUGCAACAGUGCUAUAGAGUAAAGAAGCUCUUUUAGACUUGUUUAGUAGCAAUUAAGAGGCUUCCUUGCUCUUUCUCUCAGUAGCUACCACCAUAGGUCACCACUAAGCUGUCAAUAAAGUAGGACCCACAGUGAAGGUCCCAGAGCCAUCAGCCGGAGUCACUAUACUGUAGGGCUCUGCCGUCCAAUGCAGUAGCUGGUAGCCAGAUUAAAACUUUAAUUAGAUUGAAUUAAAUUAAAAAUUUAUUGCCUUCAUUGCACUACCCACAUUUCAACUGCUCAAUAGCCACAUACAGCUAGUGGCUUCUGUAUUGAACAGCACAGAUUAUACAAUAGUUCCAUCAUCUCAGAAAGUUCUAUUGUGCAAUGGUGCUACAGAGUAAAGCAAUUUUAGACUGUUCUUUUAUAUUAUCCAAGAAAGAUUAUGAACACUUCACAAGAGUCCCAAGAGUGUAACUUAUCACAGGUUACACUGUGAUAGUCCAGGCUCCGUCCAAUCAGACUGAAGCCAAAGGGAGAAGAAACAAUGUCCGUUUCUCCUCCAGGAUCUUUAAUGAAGGCUCAGGCUAUUAUGCAAGAAAAUCUUACAGAACUUGGGAGUCUGCAAAAGAAGAAUCACUUACCUCCUAAGAUUCAUGUUAAGGAUGAAGAUGAAGUUUAAAAUAACAUAUUUGAGGAUGAAAGAGAAAACUGGAAGUCUACUUAUUUUUAAAAUGGUGCUUGGAACAUUGGAAUUUAUAACUUAUUUGAACAGGAUAUGUGAAUGGUAUCCUUUCAAGUUGCUCAAUCCUGUAUUUCUACUUGACAACAAUCUCAGUAAGCAACCAAGCAUUUAAUUCCUAAAUUUGCAUAUAAGUCAAAAAAAGGAUCUUUUUAUACUCCAAUACCUAAGUUUUGAUUCCACAAGAGAGAGAACAUUCUCAUGUAAGAUUAGGAACUAGAAACAUUAUUACAAUAGAAUAUAAUUAUGCAUUAGGGAAAAAUAAACUAAGAAUGUAAAGGGAAAGACUAAGAUUGCUCUGGAAUUUAGUGGCAAGGUUGAAAUGCACUGCCUUCAGUAAAACGGCAAUAGAGGCAUUCCAGAGGAUCAGGAAAAAGAUAUAACAAAUCUUAAGACCCAUAGAAUUUUCAUGGUGCUCAAAUAACAAGAACUGAAAUCUGCACACUGUAUCAUUUCAACUGUGAGAAAACAGGUGUUGAGACCUACUGAGCAGAUUGAAAAACAAACAGACCUUGGUCUGCUGCUUGCGGUGUAUAGAGAUAUCACUCUAACGGCACAUAUCUAUAGUCCCUCUUUCUCUUUAACCAUUGGACUGCAUAAAUCCUAGUAACUCAGAAAGCAAAUUGUGUCAUGGAACAAAUGAAGAAGAGCAGAGGAGUUUGAAAUUUCACUUCCCAAGGCAUUCCACUAACAAGAUUGCCUUUUUGUUCAAAAGAGGAUUACUGAGGACGAGGGGAAGUGAAUGAAGGAACAAUUGGGCCAGUUCUUAUUUUCUUAAAUAGCAAAAACUAGCUAUAUUAUGUAAAAAUAUAUGUAAUUUAGGGUUUUUUUUUUUCUAAAGCAGAGAAUGACAAAUUAAAACCCUUAAGUCACAAAGAAAUUUGACGUUUUCUUCUGAAAUGCUGAACUUUCAGGCUCAGAAACUAUAUUAUAGUUGAAAAAACAUUUAGAAGCCAGGAAAUUCCAAAGCAAGCCUAGAGCAGUGCUUAUUUGGACACAUUACACACGGUACAUAUUUUACAGGCCAUGUCUAACAAAUAACUAGAAGAUGGAAAAAAAGUGUCACAUAUUAAACAUGACAGUAUAAAUUCUAUAACAGAAAGAAGAAUUUUGAGAUGUCCUGAAUGCUACUCUGAAAGUAAAUAUUUUAUUAAUCCAAUUUUAGCAAUUCAUUUUCAUUUUUUAAAAAAUUAGAACAAAAAGUCAUCCAAGUUGAAAAAAAUUACAUGUGUAAAGUACUAUGUACAUCACCAUCCUAUAAAUCUGGGAGGCAGUUCCUUCCCUUUUGGCAACUCUCUAAAAAUCUCAUGAAACAAAUGCUUGUUUUCUUCAACCCCAGACCUUAAUUUUCUGUCUUUGGAACUUAAAAAUACUUACAUAAUUGUCUUCAAAUAUGGCUUGACUUUUCUUCCUUGAUGGAAACAGCAUUCUUGCCAACUUUAAAAUUUAUAGCUACAACCAUAUUUUUUUAAUUUUUAAAAGCACAAAAAAUACCACAACCCCUCAAAGUGAUUUUGAAAUGAACAUUUCUUCAUCUUCAUAAUCACUCCACGUCACCCCAUGUCAAUUCCAAGUCGACAUACAAAUGGAAAGGACAUUUAUCUCUGAGUCUUGGGGCAAAAUAUCACAUUUAGAGAUAAUGAUAUUAGCAGCUAAAAAAUAUUCCAGUGACAAUCAUACUUAAGUCAUUAUAACUACAUCAUAAAGUAAAAUGGUACAUCUAGUAAUCAAAUGUGAGUGUAUGUGUGUGUAUGUGUGCACACGUGCAUGUAUGUGGAGAGAGUGAGAGACAGGGAGGAUCUCUCACAUUUAUAGACUACACCAUAGUUUUUUUUAAAGGAUUUCCACAUAACUUGAUUAAUUUGAUCUUCUGACAAUCCUGAAAGGUAUACAAGACAAGGAUUAUUAUUCCAUUUGAUACAUCAGUAAACAGAUAGAGAAAGGCUGAGCACCUUGCCAAAACCCAAAGCUCAUCAGUGGCAUAUCCUGGAAAAACAACCUGGAUUGUUGACUCCCAGAUCAGUCCUUUAAAGAAGGUUUAAGUGUGCAAUUUAAAUUAGAUGAGAAAUGUGUAGAGUUGCUGGCUUUCUAAAGCAGUUUUACCUAUGCUUCUUUUUUUCUCCCCAAUAUCAUAAAGAUUCAUAGUCUAUCUCACUGCUGGAAAAAUAGGACCAGACACCUGGACCAGAAAAAUAGGACCAGACACAGAGAGACUACGUCAAAAGAUUGUGUUUGAAAGUCUUAAAUUUGAAAAAUCACCUGCCCUUGGAAACCUAUAAAUCAAUAUAAUCAAUAUAAAACCAUAGUCCAACAGCUUCUAAGGCAGCAAAUAUGGAAAUUUAUUGGAAAAGAAACUCUAGCUCAUUUAUCAUAGAAAAAAAAAGUUUCAAGAAGAUUAUAAAGGUGAAAUUUAAAUUGAAGCACGGGUUAUAUAAUAUGUUUAAAUUUGAACCUUUCUAAAUGGAUUAUGACUUUUUCUACAUUUUCCCCCUCUAAUUGUGGUACCACAACAAGGCAGCAUCCUUUUCACUUUUAAGUUAUUGUGUCAAGUUUACAUCGACAUCUGCUACAUUUUUGUAAGAACCUAACUGGCAUUUGUAAUCCAUGAAAAUCAACAUUAAAGGCAGCAUUCCUAUUAUUUUAAAUGUCUCAAGGAUUUGUUUGUCUUUUAAAUUCCUCAGAGAAGCAGUGAGGAAAAUGAAGAAUGUGUCAGUUUAAAUUUUUACUUGUGUGUCUCUAUACUUUUCAAUUAUUUGGCAAGCUCCUAAAAGGCAAAAAGUUUUUUUCUUUUUCUACAUUCCCCCCCCACCCACUAUAGAAACUAGAGUAGAGCUUGGCACAGGCUCCCUAGAGUUCACUGACUGUGGAGGAAACCUGGAAAAAAUUUCUGGACCUAGGGAUAAGGAUGUAUGUUACAGUUUAGGUGAGUCUGCAGAAGGAAAUGAACAGAACACAUGGUGAGAGUCUUGGGGCUAAAAGAGAGGAGGGCAAGUCUGUGCGAAAUGCCUGUGCAGCAAAUACCUAUCAAGAAGUGGGUGUGGGCAGGGUGGCUGCAAAGACAACUAGACUAGGGCACAUAUUUAUCGUUGGGUUCUAACAAGAAUACACGUAUGCCACAGACAGAAAAUGGUGGAAGAAAUCUUAUCUACCCUUCACUAGUAAUCGUCAUUGGAUGCAAAAGAUAUUUACACAAUUGGCUAGGACAUCACAACCACAGCCAAGUUUAGGAUGAGAUAAUUUUCAGUUGGAUAAUUGGGACUGUUCUCCCUAAAACAUGCCUGUAAAUUCCUCAGGCCACUGUUUAGUUUAGGUCACAGGGUCUGCAUAUCCAUUUCUUCUAAGUCAGAAUGUAAUAAAAUAAAUUAAUUUGACAUUCUGUCAUUUUUUUAUUUGUCUCUGUUCUUGAAUACUCAGUUUAAGUAAAAGUACAUAGGCUCUUUUGUUUUACAUUUUACAUAAAAUAGGCUAUAUUUUAUAUACUUGAAGUUGGAACCACUUAAAUGCAAAAAUAUAUUUUAGAGGUGAUAUCAAGAUUAUUUAAAUCAAAAACUGGUUUCACUAAUGGGCAGGAAAAGAUAGUGCAUUCAAGGUCUUCAAAAUGUCACACAGUGAAUAGCCAAUCCUGAGUAACUAACCAUAACG